Molecule: ribosomal RNA, 467 nt
Filed under: uncultured bacterium
Lineage: Bacteria
Description: partial 16S ribosomal RNA
Rfam family: Bacterial small subunit ribosomal RNA
Source: RNAcentral
ACGAACGCUGGCGGCGUGCUUCACACAUGCCAGUCGCACGGAAAGGCCCUGCUUUUGUGGGGUGCUCGAGUGGCGAACGGGUGAGUAACACGUGAGUAACCUGCCCUUGACUUUGGGAUAACUUCAGGAAACUGGGGCUAAUACCGGAUAAGAGCUCCUGCUGCAUGGUGGGGGUUGGAAAGUUUCGGCGGUUGGGGAUGGACUCGCGGCUUAUCAGCUUGUUGGUGGGGUAGUGGCUUACCAAGGCUUUGACGGGUAGCCGGCCUGAGAGGGUGACCGGCCACAUUGGGACUGAGAUACGGCCCAGACUCCUACGGGAGGCAGCAGUGGGGAAUAUUGCACAAUGGGCGGAAGCCUGAUGCAGCAACGCCGCGUGCGGGAUGACGGCCUUCGGGUUGUAAACCGCUUUCGCCUGUGACGAAGCGUGAGUGACGGUAAUGGGUAAAGAAGCACCGGCUAACUACGUG